UUUUCUUCGGAAAGAUUAGUACAGCGGCGAACGGGUGAGUAACGCGUAGGCAAUCUGCCCUUCAGUGGGGGAUAACAUCUCGAAAGAGUUGCUAAUACCGCAUGAUAUUCUUGAACUUCAUGGUUUAAGAAUCAAAGAUUUAUCGCUGAAGGAUGAACCUGCGUCCCAUUAGCUUGUUGGUAAGGUAACGGCUUACCAAGGCUUCGAUGGGUAGCUGGUCUGAGAGGAUGAUCAGCCACACUGGGACUGAGAUACGGCCCAGACUCC
RNAcentral lists this ribosomal RNA (267 nucleotides) under unidentified marine bacterioplankton. RNAcentral's name for it is "partial 16S ribosomal RNA". It matches the Rfam family "Bacterial small subunit ribosomal RNA", at positions 72 to 339 of the family's 1533-position model. The record is from RNAcentral.